This 465-nucleotide ribosomal RNA is filed under the name Vreelandella stevensii. RNAcentral describes it as "partial 16S ribosomal RNA". It matches the Rfam family "Bacterial small subunit ribosomal RNA", at positions 338 to 795 of the family's 1533-position model. The record is from RNAcentral. Lineage: Bacteria; Pseudomonadati; Pseudomonadota; Gammaproteobacteria; Oceanospirillales; Halomonadaceae.
CCUACGGGUGGCUGCAGUGGGGAAUAUUGGGCAAUGGGGGGAACCCUGAUCCAGCCAUGCCGCGUGUGUGAAGAAGGCCCUCGGGUUGUAAAGCACUUUCAGUGAGGAAGAACGCCUGGUGGUUAAUACCCAUCAGGAAAGACAUCACUCACAGAAGAAGCACCGGCUAACUCCGUGCCAGCAGCCGCGGUAAUACGGAGGGUGCGAGCGUUAAUCGGAAUUACUGGGCGUAAAGCGCGCGUAGGUGGCUUGAUAAGCCGGUUGUGAAAGCCCCGGGCUCAACCUGGGAACGGCAUCCGGAACUGUCAAGCUAGAGUGCAGGAGAGGAAGGUAGAAUUCCCGGUGUAGCGGUGAAAUGCGUAGAGAUCGGGAGGAAUACCAGUGGCGAAGGCGGCCUUCUGGACUGACACUGACACUGAGGUGCGAAAGCGUGGGUAGCAAACAGGAUUAGAUACCCGUGUAGUC